Molecule: ribosomal RNA, 160 nt
Filed under: Vitex pinnata
Lineage: Eukaryota; Viridiplantae; Streptophyta; Magnoliopsida; Lamiales; Lamiaceae
Description: 5.8S ribosomal RNA
Rfam family: 5.8S ribosomal RNA
About the family: 5.8S ribosomal RNA (5.8S rRNA) is a component of the large subunit of the eukaryotic ribosome. It is transcribed by RNA polymerase I as part of the 45S precursor that also contains 18S and 28S rRNA.
Source: RNAcentral
ACGACUCUCGGCAACGGAUAUCUCGGCUCUCGCAUCGAUGAAGAACGCAGCGAAAUGCGAUACUUGGUGUGAAUUGCAGAAUCCCGUGUACCAUCGAGUCUUUGAACGCAAGUUGCGCCCGAAGCCAUUASGCCGAGGGCACGUCUGCCUGGGCGUCACG